Molecule: unclassified non-coding RNA, 2331 nt
Filed under: uncultured fungus
Lineage: Eukaryota; Fungi
Description: sequence contains 18S rRNA gene, ITS1, 5.8S rRNA gene, ITS2, 28S rRNA gene
Source: RNAcentral
UGACCGACUUGCUCUAUGCACGGGUGGAUCCGAGGGUGGCGUAUGAUUGAGGGCAAGGACGGGAAAGACGGGAAGGUCGGGAAGGUGAGGAUUACCCGCUCUUGGUGGAUCCCAGGAAUCUUGCGCCCCCUGCUUGCUCUCUUGAUCCUUCCCGUCCUUCCCGUCAUUCCCGUCCUUCCCGCACAGUCCCUGUCCAAGCGCCUCGAUACUCGCCUGGAUCGGCCACCCUUCAAUCGGCAGCUCUGGGGCGUGGCACUGGUGGACCAGAAUGGGCGGCUGGUCUAUAGCCGGAACGCCGAUCGUCUCUUCAUUCCCGCGAGCAACACCAAGCUGGUCGUCAGCGCCGUGGCCUCGGCACUACUCCCGCCCGACUGGCGGGUGAAGACCAGCGUCUACGGCGGGCCGAUCGUGGGCGGCGUCCUUCUCGGGGACCUGCUGCUCUACGGCCGGGGCGACCCUACCAUGGAUCAACGCUGCUACGGCACCGACUCUACCCUCGCCGGGGUGUGCGACACUGACCCGUUCGCCCGGCUGCGCCAGCUGGCCGAUUCGCUACGAAGCCUGGGCGUGCAGCUGAUCGCGGGAGACGUGGUGGGCGACGGCAGCUACUUUGAGCCCACGUUGGUCCACCCGAAUUGGGAGCAGUUCGAUCUCAACUGGUGGUACGCGGCACCAGUCUCGGGACUCGGCUUCCACGAUAACAGCGUCGAUUUCACCUGGCAGCCGGGCCCGGCGGCGGGCACCCCGGCCAUUAUCUCGAUGAGUCCGGACCUCGGCGACAUCAGCUUCGAGAACCGCACGGUCACGGUGCCGCCCGGCGGGGAGUCGGACAUCGGAGAUCGCUUCUUCCGCCAUCCCGGCACGCUUCAAAUCUGGGCCGAAGGCACCGUGGCCCUCGACAACCCGCGGCGCAUCGAGUCAUUCGCGCUGCCGGACCCGAAUCUGUACGCCGCGCGAGCCCUGCGUCAGGCCCUGGCAGACGCAGGCAUCUCGGUAGCGGGCACUACCCGGUCUACCACCGACUCCACCCUGUAUGCCGGCAUGCGGGCAACCGCGCCGUUGGCCGAGGUCUCCUCCCGCCCACUCCGGGACUGGAUCUUUCCCAUCCUCAACACCAGUCAGAACUGGUUCGCGGAAAUGUUGCUGAAGCAGCUGGGCCGGCAGUUCGGGAGAGGCGGCUCAUGGCCGGAAGGCCUCGAGGUUGAGCGGCGUUUUCUGAUCGAUUCGGUUCGAGUUGAUUCGACCCAGAUCUCCCUAAGCGAUGGGUCCGGUCUCUCGAGCACCAACCUGCUGAGCCCGAUAGCGUUCACCCAGAUACUCCGCUUCAUUCGUGGCCACCCACGCUACUCCACCUUUGCGUCCGGGCUUCCGCAGGCGGGCGCCACAGGCUCGCUCCGCACUCGCUUCGUGGGAACGCCGCUCUCGGGGCGGGUACGGGGAAAAACGGGAAGCAUUUCCCGGGUCAACACCCUCUCGGGAUACAUCGAAUUGGAGCGCGGGAGAUUUCUCACCUUCUCGGUGCAGGCUAAUCACCACGCCCAGUCGGGCCGGGCAAUCCUGGGAGUGAUCGACAGUGUUGUCGUGGAAAUGGCGAAAGGGGUGCGGUGAGAAUACCGAUACGCAGGCGAAGAAGAAGAACGUGAGCGGUGAGCGGUAAACGGGGAUUUUGGUACUGGUGCCGAACCCUGGGCAUGGUGCUCCUUGGGCUGGGGGUCUUUGUUGCGGCGGCACGGCGAGCCGCCAAGCAAGUCAUCGGCACAGAUUUUCACGUGUUCUGGCAGGCGGGAUAUGACUUUCCCCAUGACCUGCCUCUCUACCACUCGCUUCCCGGCGCCCGCCACUUCAACUACCCGCCUUUCGCGGCUCAAGUCUUCCAGACACUCGCCCCUCUUCCCGCUGAAAACGGCGGCGGUGCUUUUCUAUAUCGUGAAUGUCGGACUUAUCCUCCUCGCUGUCUGGGUUUCCCGCGACAUCAUACAGCGGCGGCUACAGCCGGCACGACCGGGGGCUCUGCCGCUGGCCCUGGCGGUUCUCUGCUCUGCCGGAUUCAUGCUGGACAACAUCGCGCACCUGCAGGUGAACCUGUUGACGUUCGUCCUCAUCCUCCUCGGUGUGCAGGCUUUUAUCUCGAAGCGAGAGUUUGCCGCUGGUGGGUGGCUCGUGGCGGCCACCGCCAUCAAGCUCACCCCAGUGUUCUUUCUUGUCUGGACCGUGAUUCGCGGAAGCCGGCGCACUCUCGCCGCCAUCUCCGUGUUCGGUGUGCUCUGCCUGAUGUUGCCGGUUAUUCAACGAGGGCUCGCACAGGGAUCGGAAGACCUGACGGACUAUUAC